This 72-nucleotide transfer RNA is filed under the name Ovis aries (sheep). It matches the Rfam family "tRNA". Rfam says of the family: Transfer RNA (tRNA) molecules are approximately 80 nucleotides in length. Their secondary structure includes four short double-helical elements and three loops (D, anti-codon, and T loops). Lineage: Eukaryota; Metazoa; Chordata; Mammalia; Artiodactyla; Bovidae. The record is from Rfam by way of RNAcentral.
UCCCAGGUGGCUCAGUGGUAAAGAAUCUGCCUGCCAAUGCAGGAGAUGCAGGUUCGAUCCCUGCAUUAGGAA